Molecule: transfer RNA, 90 nt
Filed under: Lactobacillus delbrueckii subsp. bulgaricus
Lineage: Bacteria; Bacillati; Bacillota; Bacilli; Lactobacillales; Lactobacillaceae
Description: tRNA-Ser
Rfam family: tRNA
About the family: Transfer RNA (tRNA) molecules are approximately 80 nucleotides in length. Their secondary structure includes four short double-helical elements and three loops (D, anti-codon, and T loops).
Source: RNAcentral
UGGAGAGUUGGCAGAGCGGUAAUGCAGCGGACUCGAAAUCCGCCGAACCAAUGUUGAAUUGGUGCGCAGGUUCAAAUCCUGUACUCUCCU